Molecule: ribosomal RNA, 253 nt
Filed under: uncultured bacterium
Lineage: Bacteria
Description: partial 16S ribosomal RNA
Rfam family: Bacterial small subunit ribosomal RNA
Source: RNAcentral
UACGUAGGGUGCAAGCGUUAAUCGGAAUUACUGGGCGUAAAGCGUGCGCAGGCGGUUCUAUAAGACAGAUGUGAAAUCCCCGGGCUCAACCUGGGAACUGCAUUUGUGACUGUAGAGCUGGAGUGCGGCAGAGGGGGAUGGAAUUCCGCGUGUAGCAGUGAAAUGCGUAGAUAUGCGGGAGAACACCGAUGGCGAAGGCAAUCCCCUGGGCCUGCACUGACGCUCAUGCACGAAAGCGUGGGGAGCAAACAGG